AUGGCUGUCGUCAGCUCGUGUUGUGAAAUGUUGGGUUAAGUCCCGCAACGAGCGCAACCCUUAUCCUUUGUUGCCAGCGGUUCGGCCGGGAACUCAAAGGAGACUGCCAGUGAUAAACUGGAGGAAGGUGGGGAUGACGUCAAGUCAUCAUGGCCCUUACGAGUAGGGCUACACACGAGCUACAAUGGCAUAUACAAAGAGAAGCGACCUCGCGAGAGCAAGCGGACCUCAUAAAGUAUGUCGUAGUCCGGAUUGGAGUCUGCAACUCGACUCCAUGAAGUCGGAAUCGCUAGUAAUCGUAGAUCAGAAUGCUACGGUGUAUACGUUCCCGGGCCUUGUACACACCGCCCGUCACACCAUGGGAGUGGGUUGCAAAAGAAGUAGAUAGCUUAACCUUCGGGAGGGCGCUUACCACUUUGUGAUUCAUGACUGGGGUGAAGUCGUAACAGGG
RNAcentral lists this ribosomal RNA (451 nucleotides) under uncultured Enterobacteriaceae bacterium. Its description in RNAcentral is "bacterial SSU rRNA". It matches the Rfam family "Bacterial small subunit ribosomal RNA", at positions 1045 to 1496 of the family's 1533-position model. Lineage: Bacteria; Pseudomonadati; Pseudomonadota; Gammaproteobacteria; Enterobacterales; Enterobacteriaceae. The record is from RNAcentral.